This 4010-nucleotide small RNA is filed under the name Histoplasma capsulatum var. duboisii H88. RNAcentral's name for it is "Histoplasma capsulatum H88 hypothetical RNA". The record is from RNAcentral. Lineage: Eukaryota; Fungi; Ascomycota; Eurotiomycetes; Onygenales; Ajellomycetaceae.
CAUGGGUUGACGCUCGCCCGAUGCAGAAGACUUGAUCUGGGACACCCUUUUGGGGGGGGUUGAAGUUGCAUGAAUUUUACCUUGUUCAAUGCAUUCAUCGGUUCUCAAAAAGUGACUUUCUUUCCUUGAAUUUCCAACACGGGCUAGGGAUGCAUUGGAUAUGAUGCUCGGGCCUUAGCGCUUGAGCAAAGUCGAUCCAGAAGAAACGGGAUGAAAGCGAGUCUAGAUGGCUUCACACUCUGUACAAUCGGCGAAAAAACAGAAACUGGAAAUUUUUAUUUUCAUUUUUCAUUUGAUAUGCGAGUAGGCUUGAUGGCAUUGCGCCCCGCAACAGUGGAACAUUCACGAGUUUCGCCGGUAAGGUUCAUCUGAGCGUGCAGAAAGAUUUUCCGCAUUUAUUUUUCCAACCACUGGAAGGACAGAAACUAUUGUGGUAAUUUCACCUGCAGCAAGAUGUGACCACUACCAUCGAUCCCCGCUAGAGUCUAUCAAUUAGAGAACCCGCGGCAGCUGCAACCAUUGUUAUUGCGAUUAUCCACAAAGCUUGGGACCCCGAGCUCAUCAAAAACCUAUCUACCUAUCCGAAUACUUAUGUCCACCAAGGUGUGGGCUGAUGUGCCGUCGAGGGGAGGCAGUAUUGUCCCAUGAGUGCCAGAAGCGGCGCAGGAAGGGAUUGUAGAUAAAUUUCUCGCCACGGAGGAAUUGCAGAGCUGCAUAUCGACUGAAGCCUUUUACGGGUAUGGAUUCCUGGAGUCGUCAUCGGCAAAGGAUAUCUCAUCUCGUCUGCUGCUCCUUUUUCGUCGCCUAUCCUCUUCAUCUGGCCGGGCCUCCACCGUCGACUGACAAGGUGACUCCUUAGUCGAGUCAAUCUAGUCCCGCUCGGGCUCGGGUUGAGCGAUACAAGAGCUGAUAUCCGGCGUACCAUACCAUACCUUACAAUACAGCCUCCACUCCACCCACGAGCCAGCUGGGCCAGCCUUUGCCCGGCAUCGCAUGCAUACUGAAGCCAAGCCACUUAAGGCAGGCUGCAUUUGACUGGUUUAAAAUACAGUACCGAGUAUGGCAUACAGAGAUACCGUAUCCGCCACCACAAUCCGUCCUAAAACCUCUGCAUGCGACCAUCUGCGACCAUCUGCAACCACCCACUUGCCGAGCAUAACUUGAGCAAAAAAACGAUAUGGAGAGAAAAUUAUUGAAACGGGAGGGAAAAAUUUUUGAAAGGCGAAGUAAAAUGCCGUGCAUCGUGUGGACGCGAAGUGCCUUCGAAGUCAGCGCGCCAUGAUUUUGAACGGGCCUGCGCCGAUAUAACCUCGCUUCGCCCCCGCCUUUCCUCUACUUCGGAGCAUUCCUUAUUUCCCCUUCUGGCUAUUCUCGCCAUCUCCUUACUUCUUCCUCUUCUUUUGUUUCUUCCGUUCAUCUCCAUCGUUUUGCUGAACCCUUCGCCCACCGCAUCUUCCCACCGCUUCCCCCGCGCCCUCUAAAACCCUCCUCCCGCCACCCUCACUUUAUACUUAUGCUCUUCCUUUCCCUUCCCGCUUCUCCCUCCCUCCUUGGCGCUUCUUUGCUCUCAUACAAAGCGUGGGCGAAUGGUGCAUUUAUUAUUAUAAUAUAUAAAUAUAUAUAUGUGGACCAUUAUACUCAUUCUAAAUUUCUAUCUACUUAUUAUUGAAGCGCUCCCCUGCUUGGCCCUAUCUCCCGAGUGCCCCUCAGCCAGAAUGCCCACAAUUCUACUUCCAGCGUCCGCUGCUGCCUUCGCGCCAAGGUCGUCUCCAAAUGUCGUGUUAAACUCCCGGGUAGAACCGUGGUUAACUGUUACAUUGAAAAGAGUCAACCGGGUCAAGCGUCCGCUUAAUAACGUCACGCAGCACACACGAUGUCUGACCGAAACCCUCUCAUCGCCGAAUGCCAUCUGGACUCUUUGUUCGAUUAUGCUUCCAAAGGCUCCUGAAUCUGAAUUGCGACAAGACGACAAUCCCUUAGUGGAAGCAUUGUAUAACUACCAACUUCUUCACGUGGAGGCGUACGUUGUUCACGUUGACAUGGUUUCCCAGAACGAAGUCGCCUUCAAACUCACUCCAGAGACUAUUGAAUCGCUAGUUGAGUAUCAUAAGGACAUCUACUCCGUGGACACUGCGGCCAACACCUGGAACUGGUCGGAGAAAGAGAUACAGCUUAAGAAAUUACAGGAGGAAUUCGUUCAGGCCGCCAACAGAUUCGUAUAUCGCACAUCUGCGACUGCGCUCGAGGGGAUGGAGGAGGAUGGUGCUGGUGAACUACUCUGUGGUCGAAGCGAUGAGGCCAAGGCUGCCAUUCUUGGAUUGUUUCUGCCACUACUACCUCCUCCAUCCCGCAUUGUUGAUGUGGUGAGGCCUACUCCACUCCUUCCCAGCUCGACCGGGCCUGAUAACUGGUGGCACAGUCCAAUCCAUCAACCUCACACCGAACAGGUUGAUUCAUGGAAAGUUGUCCCGUCCAGCCCCAGCACGACUUCCUCGAGCGAUUCACACCAGAGCCUUUGGGCUGCCAGCCUUGCGCUUAAUGAGAUUCAAGUUUCGUCGCACAGCCAACCGUACUCUACGAGCGCUACCAGGACUUUGCCCUUCCCUAUGGAACUACAAUGUAGCAGCCACAGGGAGUCAGGUUACGCGCGGACCUGCGAGAGCAUGAACUGGGAUUAUGUUUCCAUCAAUAACUACAUUCCGAGACACCUUAGCUCAGUGAACAUGUGGUACUUUGACCAAUGUUGUAAUGAGACAUGCGACUUUUGAUACUAGACAAUGCGAAACCAACGACAUUCACGGCAUACCCGACGGCGUUUCAUUUAAUCGACAAUGGUGACAUUUGGGGAGAGAGCAUACUUUCUAUUCUGUUUCUUACCAGUUGAUACUGCCUAAUCUUGUUUCUUUUUUCUGUCAUUGAUUUGUUUUUUGUCAUGCGUUGUUCAGCAAGCGUUGUCCUUUUUGUUUAAUUUGUAAGGUCUGGUCAUCUUGUUUCUGCAUUUUGCAUAACCGGCGGGUCGGCUAUUUGAUGAUUUAUUUUGUGACACACAAACUCCCUUGGCGGAUGUAAUUUCUUUUCUUUUCUCUUCUUUACUUUUGAGUUGCGUUCUCGUUGCCCAUUUCGCAUUUUUCAUAUUACCUCAAAGAUUUGAUGUGCCUCGCGGCUCGAAACGUCUUUUCUUUUGUCGCUUAUUAUAGAUUGCGGUUUAAAGAGAAGUACGAUACUGGGACUUGUUGACUGGCUAGCACAGUCCGUUAUCCCGGGUACUUUUUGUUCCCUCUCUUUGGUCCACACUCGCUCUUGGUACUGCGUACCGGACUAGCAAUCCUUAUACGGAUUGGUGAGGCUACGACCGGCGACGUCCGGGCUCUACCAAACAUCUGGCAUGUUUGUGAAUCCGAUCCACACAUGUCCCCAUUCUCGUCGUUUGGAAGGUUGAAUGACGAUAUCUCGGAACAUGGCAGCUACUGGCGACUCGAUCGACGCUCGACCUGUGGUUGAACUCGUUGGGGUGAGAAAGGGAAACCCCUCUGAGAUGGAAUCUGAGGUUCCGAUCUGAUGUUACCGUUCUUCCCGCCAGCUUAACGCUUUGCUUCUGAUAUCCCCAAUUCACCGGAAUAUCGGCCGGGUGCGUGGACUACUCCCCCUUCGAGGCUCAUCCUCUUUUCUCCAGGGCUGAUUUUCAUUAUUUUUUACCCCUUUAUCAGUCGAAUCACGCCCUGGAGAGGCCUCGCCACAUUUUACCACUUCCCUGGCUGGAAGAGAAGGUAGGCAGGAAUCGGAUGCAGGAAUCCUACAAACCGUUUACAUUCAUUUGGUUAUUUUUGGGCUGGGUGGGAAAACUCCGAAGCUGGGCUUUGGAGUGCUUUUUAUUUUGAUAUACCUCCUGUUAAUUUUGUUUGUUAGUGAUUCCCACCCAGCCACAUAGUCGAUAUAGUAUCUAGUAUAUUGUUGUUCGAUAACUAGUUUAGUUGACCCCCCUUGUUUGAAAUAUAAUAUUUUGGACGGGA